CCCGUAGCUCAGUUGGUUAGAGCAGCGGACUCAUAAUCCGAAGGUCGUGGGAUCAUGCCCCUCCGGGUCC
This 70-nucleotide transfer RNA is filed under the name human gut metagenome. It matches the Rfam family "tRNA". From Rfam's summary of the family: Transfer RNA (tRNA) molecules are approximately 80 nucleotides in length. Their secondary structure includes four short double-helical elements and three loops (D, anti-codon, and T loops). The record is from RNAcentral.